Molecule: unclassified non-coding RNA, 745 nt
Filed under: uncultured Alphaproteobacteria bacterium
Lineage: Bacteria; Pseudomonadati; Pseudomonadota; Alphaproteobacteria
Description: partial contains 16S ribosomal RNA, 16S-23S ribosomal RNA intergenic spacer, and 23S ribosomal RNA
Rfam family: Bacterial large subunit ribosomal RNA (bases 608-745)
Source: RNAcentral
UGCGGCUGGAUCCCCUCCUUUCUAGGGAUCGAUGUUUCGGAUUUCUCACGAGUUAUCCCAACAUCGUCACUAGACAAUCGGCGCCUUGCCGCCGCCUACGUUUCCCUUCCGAUUCCGUCAGCUGCCGCGAGCAUUUGGUUCGCGAGCAGGACGAAGCCUCAUCGGGCUUGUAGCUCAGUUGGUUAGAGCGCGCGCUUGAUAAGCGUGAGGUCGGAAGUUCAAGUCUUCCCAGGCCCACCAUCCACCCACGAUCUCAACGACAACAACGGGGCCAUAGCUCAGUUGGGAGAGCGCUAGCUUUGCAAGCUUGAGGUCAUCGGUUCGAUCCCGAUUGGCUCCACCAUUUCCACGUGAUCGUGGAAGUUGGCCAUGGUUGAUCGCCGAUGAGUUCCUUAUGCAGCGACGGAAACGCAAACAGCUUCAGUGCGUGGAAAUGCACUGCAAGAAUUGACAUUGUGAAGGCGGGUUAGCCGGUUCGCACAACCGGUUGAUCUACAAUACGACACUCAAGACUGAUCGCAUGGAAUUCCAUUCCGAAGCGUAAGUCCGGUACGGGGACGUCCCGUGCUGGCUUUGUUUCUGGACAUGGAACGAUUGCUGAGCGAUCAAGCGUUAAAGCAAGGGCAUCUGGGGGAUGCCUUGGCACACACAGGCGAUGAAGGACGUAGCACGCUGCGAUAAGCUGCGGUGAGGGGCGAGCACCCUUUGACCCGCAGAUCUCCGAAUGGGGAAACCCGGAAGGGCG